CACUACAGCUGGUUGUUGGAUAGUUUUGAAUUGACUUGGAGUCAACUCUUAUAAUGGAUCUUUAGCAGAGUUCUAGCUAGACAAUAAACAAAUACAUCAGUUGGACGAAAAGAGAUUCCUGGAGGAGACUUAUGGCUGAGACACUUCUGUCGGUUGGAGUUCAGAAGCUUUGGGACCUCCUUGUCCGAGAAUCUGAGAAAUUUCAGGGAGUUGAAAAACAAUUUAAUGAAUUAAAAAGGGAUAUAAACUUGGAAUCAACUCUUCAUAUGGUCAUUAAAUUACUUUGAUAUUUACUUGGAAUCAACUCUUCUAAUGGGUCACUAGGGGAGUUAAAACACUAAAACUAGUUCUUUUUACAGAUCUGUUGGGAGGAAAGCGACUUGCUUGAGGUGAUUAUUGUUGAUUUUAUUGUUUUUUUUUUUAAAUAGUUUUCAUGUGAUAUUUUGUAUUUUGCAUUUUUAUUAUCUCAAUUCUUCAUGUCUCUCGUCAAUGAUCUGUGGAUUAAGUAUUCCACAUAAUAACAAAUAUUGAUUCUGUAAUAUUUUAUAAAAUACGAUCCGAAUUAUGAACUGAUGGAUACUA
This is a non-coding RNA of Camelina sativa (false flax), 582 nucleotides long. The record is from RefSeq and is a predicted model, not a curated record. Lineage: Eukaryota; Viridiplantae; Streptophyta; Magnoliopsida; Brassicales; Brassicaceae.